Molecule: unclassified non-coding RNA, 339 nt
Filed under: soil metagenome
Description: partial contains 5.8S ribosomal RNA, internal transcribed spacer 2, and large subunit ribosomal RNA
Rfam family: 5.8S ribosomal RNA (bases 1-120)
Source: RNAcentral
GAUGAAGAACGCAGCGAAAUGCGAUAAGUUGUGUGAAUUGCAGAAUUCAGUGAAUCAUCGAAUCUUUGAACGCACAUUGCGCCCUUUGGUAUUCCUUAGGGCAUGCCUGUUCGAGCGUCAUUUAAACCUUCAAGCUCAGCUUGGUGUUGGGUGACUGUCCGCCGCCUCCGGGCGCGUGGACUCGCCUCAAAAUUAUUGGCGGCCGGUACAUUGGCUUCGAGCGCAGCAGAAACGCGAACUCGGGCCCGUCGUAUUGGCUCCCAGAAGCUAUCUUCACAAUUUUGACCUCGGAUCAGGUAGGGAUACCCGCUGAACUUAAGCAUAUCAAUAAGCGGAGGA